AGAUCAUGAGCAGGGGAGGGGCAGAGAGACACAGAAUCUGAAGCAGGCUCCAGGCUCUGAGCUAGUUCUCAGCAUAGAGCCCGAUGCGGGGCUCGAACCUACGAACCAUGAGAUCAAGACUUGAGCCAAAGCCAGAAGCUUAACGGACUGAGACACCCAGGAGCCCCACAUUUGUCUUUUGCAGUGCAAAUUGCAGUUGUAUUCUCUAAGAGGUUGACUCCGAGAGCCACCACCCAGCCCUUGGGCAAAGGGCAGAAAGUAGAUAUCUGGAAACCUGGCGACUGAAACCUCUGGAGGAGGGAUUGGGGCAAUUAUCUUCUGAAGACAGAGCAGGUUGGGAACCGCCCCUCAACUCUGCUGGCCCACCCAUCUUGGACUCUGACUUUCUGUGAAGACAUCCACGUGCUCUGGGGUCAAGUGGGUUUACUUAUUUACUGUCUUGAGACUUUGAAAUCUGCCCAAGGAAUCUUGCAUCAAAACAAGAAAACCUCAGGGCACCUGGGUGGCUUAGUUGGUUCAGCAUCCAGCUUCGGCUUAGAUCAUGAUCUCACGGUUUGUGAGUUUAAGUCUGGAAUAGGGCUCUUUGCUGUCCUUAUGGAUCCCUCUUUGGAUCCUCUGUCUCUCUCUCAAAAAUAAAUAAACAUUAAAAAAAAGAAAAAGAAAAAACAAGAAACCCCAUGGUCAGACAAACCAGUAAUCUGCUCUGUGUCUCAACAUCCUUCUAGUGAAAAUAGGGGAUUAAUAGUGUCUCAUUUUAUGGGGAUGUUGUGCAGAUAAGUAUGCAAAACAGCAUUUUCCAGAAGAUCAAGAGAUAUGUAAGGACAAUUUGUGUCAUUAUUUGCUAUUCUUAUUGAAGGUAGGAGGGGUCAUAUAUGUACUUGGAAAAGUAUAACUUUAGGAACAGACAGGAAUGAAUUCUUGUUCUGCAACAUACAUGCUAUUUUUGAUGUUACAGAAACCUCUCUGUGGCUGUUUCCUCC
RNAcentral lists this long non-coding RNA (980 nucleotides) under Suricata suricatta (meerkat). Its description in RNAcentral is "lncRNA (ENSSSUG00005006242.1)". Lineage: Eukaryota; Metazoa; Chordata; Mammalia; Carnivora; Herpestidae. The record is from RNAcentral.